Molecule: unclassified non-coding RNA, 9531 nt
Filed under: Megachile rotundata (alfalfa leafcutting bee)
Lineage: Eukaryota; Metazoa; Arthropoda; Insecta; Hymenoptera; Megachilidae
Description: histone-lysine N-methyltransferase ash1, transcript variant X5
Source: RNAcentral
ACGCAACAGUAUAUGGAAUGCGAAAUUUCGUAUGAACCGCUGGACCAUUCUAAUGGUGAUAUUCAACAUCAGAUGGCGCGGCAAUUUGAGUUACACAUGAACACAGAGGAGUUUCCACGGGCCCUGUCGCCGACGCACCUGGCGCAUCGACCGAGAAACAGAAACAGCUGUCUGUUCGAAGCAACUUCGAGAAUAUCGUUGGUUGAUCGUCGAUCCAGAAUCGUGUGGAUCUUCGUUGCAUUAUUCGUGGAAUGCGGAGUAACGAGGUCUCAGGGUAUCGUGUCUGUCAUCAAACGCGUACUAGCCUGCCCCUUACUUCGCCACUCUUUACCGCUUUAGGCGGUCGCUUCGACGAUAACGUGCUUGCCUUUUAUUUUUCCGAUUUCUACGAUCCGGAACGUUUCUCCCCCUUUCCUCUUUCUCUCUCUUUCCCUCUCGCUCUUUCCCUGACCCCACUUGCUUAUUCUCUUGCUCUUUCUUUCCCUCUCUUUUUCUGUUUUUCUCUCUUUCUCCCUUUCAAGGGAUUCUCUGCUUCUCUGUCCCGCACUUUCUCUCUCUCCCGUGCGAAGUUCCUCUGGAGAUUUCUGUGUGCUUCGUUGACGAUGUAAACAGAGUGAUAUUUUUUUGAAGAAAAGAUUUUAUUCGUUGUCCCUAUUUACCCGUCUCCUUCGAUCAUCUACUACUGUUGUUGUUGCUACUGCUGCUGCUUUAAUGCGUACGCGAAUGUGACGCACCUAUAGUUGGAGUACGCGCGCAUCAACAAGCAGCAUUUUCUUCGAUGACAUUGUCUUUUAUCGGUAACGAUUUCUAAGAUAAUUGUUGCAUAUAUCGAGAAAAAGUUACACCAUUAUGAGUAAAACGUAACUAUAUGCAAUUGUUGUACAAUGAAGAAAUCAUUGGUAGAAAUUACCAAAUAAACAUGGGAAUUCUACCGAUAUGUCUUGCGAUCAAAUAUUGAGCACAUUGGCAAAGAUGUGCUUUGUACAAUUGCGAAGAAACUGAAUGAAUAAACAAAAUUAUAAGGAAUGGUAUUCUAUUGGACAAUAUUGGAUGUUAGAUAAGCUGAAAAAUGUCUGGUGAUUCAGGAUGGAGCGCCGUUAUUCACCAUCCUUCGGAAUUAGAAUUGCAAAAUUGGAACUGGGAGGAAAACGAUGGGGAGCAGGAAAGAGAGCUCCCAUCGACUGUUGAUAUGGAUGCCAUAAAAGGCGGAGGUAGCUGGGAUCCAACCACCGAACUUAAUGGAACAGAUUCGGUUGAUUCAGAAGAGGAUUCCGAUUCCGACGACGAAAGUUCAGGCGGUACAGAAGGUAGUUGUUCUUAUUCGGAUUCAAAUUCGGACUCGGACGACGAAAGUAGUGGUGAAGAAGAAGAUACUGGCUCCAAUUCGGAUUGUACGUCAGAACACAGCGAACAAACAUUUUCUAUUCAAGAAACAAAUUUUGAAUCGGGAGCGCUUAAAUUAAAGAUUACUAUGAAAGGACCGAAAAAGGACGAUGUCGAAAAAUCGAAAUGCGAAAAAAAUAGGAGAAACGCGUCAAAGAAAGUUAAAGCCAAUCGCGGAACGAAGUCGUCCGAAUGCAGCAGCGAGGAAUCGGAUUCGUCGGAAAGCAGGCUACCUUUACAACACAUGCAACAACAGCAACAGAAUCAGCCAUCUCAACAACAGCAACAACAACAACAACAACAGCAACAACACCAGCCGCUUCAAGAAAUCAAUCAAGAGGAUUUGGCAGCUAUUUUACCGGACCAAGAGCACGAAGACGCUCCGUUCGAUGGAUUUGAGGAUUCAGAAAGCGGUCGGUUAGUGUCGAAAGCCAUUGAACGUAUGUCACUCGGAGCCGAUUCGGAUACGAGCGAAAAUGGCGAUCAGAACCCUGUACCUGUGUAUAGUUCCACAUUAUUGCAACAGUUCGUCGAAAAAACGGCUUUGCUAUCAGAACCGAGGAAAAGACGAAGUAAAAUCGGGAAGAAGGUGAACGAUUCGGAAUAUCCUUGCGUUUCAAACGUAUCACCGGACUCGGGAAUUCAAUCGGUAGAUAAUAGUCCUUUACAUUUGGCCAUCAGUCCUGUAAGUCCGCCGGCUCCGACGCAAUCCCCGGUGCAACCGGUUGUUACGAAGCCAGCGGUAAACGUAGAUCGUGUUUUGUACCCGCCAAAACGAAAACCUGGAAGACCGGCAAAAGCGGUCUCCGCGCAACCUCGAGGUCCUGGUAGGCCAAGAUUGAAACCGGAAGUCGUAGAGAAGAUAGAGAAAAUAGAAAAGAUCGAAAAAUCUGGGAGAACUGAGAGAAACGAAAAGAAGGAAACUUCGUCUCAACAGCAAAAAGUUGUAAAAGAAGAACCGAGUAAAAGGGGAAAGGUAAAGUCGGUGAUACAACAGAAAACUGUUGCGUCUCGAAGUGACAAGGAAGACGAAAAUGAAUUGGCUAAAAAUUUGAAGGAUAAAUCUGUUUGUCAAAAGAAACGGAGUUGCAACAUUUCCAAGCAGUGUUCUCAGGGAAAGGUAAAUAGGAAAAGAAAUAAUACAAGUUCUGCGAUGCGUGUCAAGUGCCUAAGUAGAAGCGUUGCGAAUAAGCACGGAAAAGAAGGGAUUAAAUGUAAUGGCGGAACGUGUAAAAAAAUAAGGAAAAAUAAACCUGGUACAGGAAACAAGACGACAACUCCGUUACGACGACAAAAACAAUUAGCUUGCGACAGAAUAUCCAAUGACAGGAAGGUUAUUGGUUCCAACAAGAGAAGCCUGAAAGAAAACAGAAGCAGUACGGGUCCUUUGGGUAAGAGGAAAACGUCGUUAAAAAAGAGCGUCGCACCGGUAACGCGACGUGUUUUAAAGGAAAAUAAAAGCACCAAAAAAGCAACGACUGGGUUCGAAACGAACGGCGUUGGCGUGCAAACUCUGAUAUCUUUACCAGUUGGCGAGGUGCUAAAGGCGGAAAAAGUCGAGAAUAUAACCAGCAAUAAAUGCGACAAGGCAACGCAGCCUAUACACAAUCAUUGCCAUAAACACCAUCAUCACAAACAUCGGCGGCGAUUGUUGCUGCCGCCUAAAAAUCCUAUACGCAUCCAUCCGUGUAUCAUCCAAGAACUAGAAAAAUUAAUCGAAGAAUUUUCCAGAUCUUGCAGUUUAGGUAGGAACAAUUCGAACGCCGGAUACUCUGAAUUACCACAGAUUUUUCGUGUAAAGAAAUUGACGAAGAAAAGGAAAGGCGACGUUACUACGAGUGAUGAUCAGAAAUUAAAGAGGCGUUUGAAGAAGGAGAAAACACUGUCGGGAUCGGAUUCGAAAGGCAGCACGAACUCUAGUACAAAUUCGAAUCCAAAUGAACAGAGGUUACCUUUGAAAAAGAGACAUUAUCAUGUGUCCAGUCCGCACAGUUCUCAAAGUUCGAACGGCAGCGGUACCGACGUGGCUUCGAAUGAAGCAAAUUCUACAGAAAGUCACAUAGAGGAAGCAAUCGAAGCAACGAUAACGAGAUACGGCGGUAGUUCAGCGUCUUUCUUCCAGGAAGACUCCGUACCAGUCACCCCGAAGAAAAGGCACAGAGACAGUGAAAACACAAGUCCUGACAAGUCGGGUGCAACGUCUUCAGACUUGCUGGAAGAGAAACCAUUGAACCAGGUAGAAGUUCAACCUCGUCGGAAAAAGAAGAUCGUUAAAGAUCUUCGUGUAACCGUCACUAAAUUAUCCGCUGAGAAUCAUGGUGCUUUCGAGAAGACCGAUAGUAAAACUGAGAAAUCCGAGAAAUCUUCCAGCGAUUCGAAAAGCUUGAAGAAUCAUGCGGAGAAGAAUGCAAAGGCCGUUGCAGAAAAAUCAAUAAAAACCGAUAAAAGCCAAACGGACAAGAACGAGAAGAGAGAUACCUCGCCCGAACAUGUUCGUUUGGACAAAAAUAUCAAAGUCGACGCUGCGGAAUUUCAUGUUCCGGAAAGCUUCGACGAAAGUGAAAUCACAAACGAAACUAAACCAUCGCAAAGUAAUCUCAGUUCGAACGUUCCGAAUCCAUUGAAUUCUUCUGCUGUACUGGUCUUAACCAAGAAAAAAAUGAGACGACGAAAGGCUAUUAAUCGUACCGGUUUCCCAACGUUAAAGAAAAAGAAGAAGAGAAUUCUGAAUUCUAGCGAAAUGGACGGAUCGAAAGGUGUUACCGUAAACAGUGAGGAUGGUGCAGAUAUCGCUGCCGAUGAUCAAUCCUUACUGAAAGAAGGCACUGAAGAUUCCACAAUGGAUAGUAAAACCACCUUAUUAAAUACGGAAAUAGAAGACGUAUUUACUGAGGAGCUUGGGAUUAAACACGGUACCAACAACACUGUUCGAGUACCAUCGAAAUCCAGUCUAAACUCGAGUCCAGAGAAUUCCAGUGCCUUGGACCAGGAAACGGCAGGUCGUGAACAGCCUGAACCUCGUUCGGGGCAAUUGAGAGUUCGAAAAGACCUCGUUGAAACUGAUAGUAGCGACAAUGGAUCCAACAAAUUAUGUCCUGUGAAGUUCGAAAAACUCCAAGAUUCGAGAUCGUACGAUGAAAAUGCGUCUCUGGAAGAGUCUCUCGAAAGAUACAAUGCAAGUCAAAAAGUGGUAGCUGAAUUGAACGAAGAAAAUGUGAAAAAAUUGGAGCGUGCAAGUUCCCAAGCGAAUAUAAAAACCGAGAACUCUACCGCUUUUAACGGGAACCAGAAGAAACGACGAGGUUCCUCGAGUCCAUGUAAUCUUACUCCCAGAAAUAUAAAACGACUACGCAGUGCGGGUUACGACACGGAGAACGACGUUCUAUCCAGCAGUGAUAUUCUUCAAGAAGAUCACGAAGUUGGAAAACAUUCAGGCUCAACGCACACGAGAAAGAAACAGUCCAGGUGGAAGAAGCGUUACUUUCAGGGUGGUAUUUUACAGGAUUAUGGUAAAGAUUAUGAAUCAAAAACGCGCGGAAAUAUCGAGAAUAUCAGUGCCUCUGGAAAAAAUAAAAUUGUCUGUGAAACCAACGAACCCGCGUCAGCUGCAUUAUUGUCUGCUACGUACCAGUGUGGCAAGUUACUGCGUCAAAGGAAAAUGCCUUUCCAGUUACCAUACGAUUUAUGGUGGUUGCAUACGCAAUCCAGAUUACCUGGUAGAGAGUCGGUACCAUCAUGGAAUUAUAAGAAAAUUCGUACGAAUGUAUAUUACGAUGUCAAACCAACUACGUUGUACGAAGCCCAAGCCUGUGAGUGCAAACCAGAGAGCGGUUGCGGAGAUGAUUGUAUCAAUCGUAUGAUCUUUAGCGAAUGCUCUCCCCAACUUUGUCCUUGUGGAGACAAAUGCGAGAAUCAAAAGAUUCAGAAACACGAAUGGGCUCCAGGUUUACAAAAGUUCAUGACAGAGGACAAAGGUUGGGGCGUGAGGACGCAACAAUCUAUUAAAUCUGGUGUUUUUAUUCUUGAAUAUGUCGGAGAGGUUGUCUCUGAAAGAGAAUUUAAAUCCAGAAUGGCGACGAGGUAUGCCAACGAUACACAUCAUUAUUGCUUGCAAUUGGAUGGGGGUUUGGUAAUCGAUGGACAUCGUAUGGGAGGUGAUGGAAGAUUCGUAAACCAUUCUUGCGAACCCAAUUGUGAAAUGCAAAAGUGGAGCGUUCAUGGGCUUCCGCGUAUGGCAUUGUUCGCGUCCAGAGACAUUAAACCUGGGGAAGAAUUAACGUACGACUACAAUUUUGCACUGUUCAAUCCAUCCGAGGGGCAAGAAUGCAGAUGUGGUAGUAGCGCUUGUAGAGGAGUAAUAGGCGGAAAAAGUCAGAGAGUUUCAAAAAGUAUCACCUCUCUUCCAACACAGUGUGAACCUACAGAACGAAGGUCGGUCGGAAGACCAAGAAAAAAUGUACGAAAAUCUAAUACUGUACAAUCCGUGAACUCAAAGGGCAUUUGUAAAUCUCGAAAAGUAGGCGAUACUAACUUGAUUCAUGCUCCUGUUCUAAAGCCUAUGUCUCAUCAACAGCGUUGUUUCGCGCAGCAACAUCAUUGUUUCCUCUUAAGAAAUUUAGAGAAAGUCAGGCGGGUUAAAUCGUUAGUGAAUCAGGUUCAAAUGCAGAACGGCAAAACGAAAGUCAAUAAUAUGGGUACCGUAAAGGAAAAGGGUCUUGGUGAUGCCAAGAUUCAAUCCGAUGCAUUUUUCUCUCAAUUAACUGCGCUGACUAAUACGAACACGCGUACUGUCCGAACUAGGAGAUUAGCACAAGCUCAGGAUGAUCCAGAAGUACAUAAAACUGCAAAGUUGGCCAAGGUAUUAAAAGAUCUUUAUAGCAUCGUUGCAACUGCAAACGACGAAAACGGGCAGUUGUUGUGCACGCCGUUUAUGACGUUACCUUCGAAAAGAAAGUUGCCAGAUUAUUAUGAAAAAAUAUCAGAUCCUAUAGACUUAACUACAAUUGAUCAGUGUAUUGGAACCGGUCAUUAUAAAACAGCCGAGCAUUUUGAUCAUGACAUGAUUAAACUUUUCGAUAACAAUAUAAGGUUCUUUGGAAGAACUUCCGAAAUGGGCAUCGCCGCAGCUAGAUUAAGGAAAUUAUAUUUGAGCAGUAAACCCGAUUUUGUAGACGCGAUAACAGAUGCGACAGGUUGUCCGCCUUCUCAAGGUUUCUUACCUCCUCGAGGUUCAACUGCCGGCGAAGAAGAUGUUAUCAGGUGUAUUUGUGGCUUGCACAGGGACGAAGGUUUGAUGAUUCAGUGCGAACGAUGUCUCGUUUGGCAACAUUGCGAUUGCGUUAAGGCCGAUACUAGCAUAGAAUCUUACUUAUGCGAGAGAUGUCACCCGCGACCAGUUGAUCUGGAAAUACCGUUGGAGGGCGAUGAAGAAGAAGAGGGGAAGAAACACUACGUUACUUUGAUGCGCGGUGAUUUACAACUCAGGCAAGGAGACACUGUGUACGUGUUGAGAGAUACACCCGAGAAACAUACGUACAAAACUAUUCAGAAACCGGAUUAUGAGCAAAUGGACAUCUUCAGAAUUGAGAGGCUCUGGAAGAAUACAGAAGGGGAAAGGUUCGUAUUCGGUCAUCAUUACUUAAGACCCCAUGAAACGUAUCAUGAGCCGACUCGAAAGUUUUACGAAAACGAAGUGGUGUGUGCUCCGUUGUACGAAGCAGUACCAUGUGACUUGGUUGCUGAACGCUGUUGGGUUCUUGAUCCUCAUACAUAUUGUAAAGGACGACCGGUGGGUUCUACGCCAGAGCAUACUUACGUGUGCGAGUAUCGCGUUGAUCGCGCUGCUCGACUUUUCACAAAAGUUGCCAGAGCUAGGCAUCAAGUUUGCACGAAACCUUACGCGUUUGAAACGUUUCCACAACGUAUUAAACAUUACCGUACAUAUUUACCCCAUAGUCUCGAAGGAAUACAGGUUGGAAGUAAAAUGAACAAAGAAAAGAAGAAAGCGAACAAUCAGGACGUGGAUACAAACCACAAGUCGGAAUCGGGUGACAACGCGAAAUCACACAGUAAAGAUCAACAAAAGUCCUCCACGAGUAAAGGUAGACGGCGAUCGAAUGAAAUUUUAUCUAUCACUACACCCACUACAUCGUACGCCCAGCGAGAAGAGCAAAGAAGAAGGUUGAAUAACAUUUUAAUCGGUUUACUACAAAAGAUGCCGAAUAAAAAGGAUCCUUUGGAUCUGUCAUUUUUACUAGAAAGGAAUAGGAGAAAUCGUAAAAGGCCAGGUGGAUUGAAUCCGUGACAUUGGGUUAUACAUCAGCGAUAAUACAAUAUUAUCGGUACGCAUAUGCGUAGGGCGUUCAUGCACACGUGUAACGCGUUGGUACUAUGGGCCACUAAUUUCAAUCGCAGUUACGUCUGUAAUCAAAGCGAUCACCCGAUCGAUUGUUUCAUUUCGCUACACGUAAAUUGAUGUCAUUUAAAUCGUUUCACGAGGAAAACGAUAAGCUACGCGUUUUCGUAUCCUUAUACUAUGACCCGUCCAUUCGUAUAAUUUAAUCUUAAAAAACGAAUAUCACUCUUUCUAGAGUUACGCUAUAUCAAUCGAGAUCUUUUUUAUAUAUUGUUUUUACGUAUAUAAAACUAUAGAAAAUUUAUAGGAUGGUACUUCGAUUGAGAUUUUCUGUAGUUUUUUGGCAUCAUUGUGGUAUUUUAGUCUACUUUCUCUUCUCCUGCGUCAGAAGUUAAGCAUCGAGCGGACAAAUGGGAACAGAAUCGAUCUUUUGAUUCUGAGUGGGAAAUUUAAAGUAAUUUAAUGCUAUUCAAGUCUUUUUUAAUAUUUUGAUCGUGUAGAGUUUAUUUGAGUUUGUGAAACAGAUGAACCGGAAUCGACGAUGUGGUUUCGGUACCUGAAACAACGUAUCAAUCGAAUUGCAUAUAACGAGAGCUAUUAUUAUGUCUAAUACAGUUCUAAUAUAAUUAGACUCGUCGAAUUGUAUAAAAGUAAUUUGUAAAUUUCCCUCAUAGUGCAUACAUUUAAGUGUACAAAUUAUAUACAUAAUUACUUGGGAUUGAGGAUUGUGACGCGCACGCGUCGGAGUAAUAAAAUUAAACCGCGCGCGUCGAAGAACAAUGGAAUAAGAGAAAAAAUAUCGAAUACAUGCGAGGCUUCAUUGCACAAAAGUACCAUUAUAUUUUUCAUAAUCCCAGUGUUAUUUUGAAUUAAGUGUAAUAUAUAGGUUUUUAAAUUAAUAGCUAAAACUCUACUAACAUAUUUAAUUUAUUCAUUAUCGCGAUCGAGUAUAGCGAAUUGUUGCUAUAACGACAAAUAUACGCAGGAUUUCGUAUUUAUUAUUACAUUAUACAGUUAGUAAAUACAUAUUAUUGAAAGCUAUUUAAUACGUAUAAGUCUUAUUUACAUUAUAUAUGUUUUUACGCUUUGCACGAUGUCCGAAUUUGUUUUUAUCGAAUGAACACACACUACGAUUACCCUAUUUCUGGUUUCCAAUGUUAACCACAUAAUGCAAGCAUGUUGUUUUAGCGUCAUCGUAAGAAUCUACGUAUAUUGUAUUUUUAUGGCAUGACAGACGGAAUAUCUACCUUUGUUAUUUAAUAUUAUUGAAACUAAUGAAUUUGGAAUUUAAAGAUUUUAUUGAUCUUUUAACAAAUAUUUUAAAAAUAUUUUAACGCGAAUUAUAUUUCGUACAAUAUUCUUGGAAUUAAUGUCUAUUAUUUGUUUACGGAUGAUCGUAUGAUUUGGGAUUCUCACUGACUUUCAAUACCUGCUUCGGAACAAAAGGGUACCGUUCUUUUUUUUUGUAGAAAUAAUCCUUUAAUAUACAAGGAGGUCACGACAACGGAGCGCGAAGCUUUCUCUGCAUGGAAUGGCAGAAAAGAAUAAGUUAGAAGAGCUUAUGAUUUACCAAUACCUAUGCGAGCUACAAAUGAGAAUUUCUGCGCAAUUACACGGAAUGCGUUAUAAAUAUUAAAGAAGGUCAACAUGGUCGAUUACGUUGACGAUUACAUUAAGCGUGUGCGAAGACUGAAUUACUGAUACAGGAUAUUUCUAGCAGGUAAUUGUGCUGAUCAAAUCUGGGUUGUAAAUAAUUGAAAUUCGAAAUAAAUAGAAGAUAUUUUUUAUUUUUA